This 1404-nucleotide long non-coding RNA is filed under the name Homo sapiens (human). Its description in RNAcentral is "long intergenic non-protein coding RNA 658". Lineage: Eukaryota; Metazoa; Chordata; Mammalia; Primates; Hominidae. The record is from RNAcentral.
CCACCGCUCUCCAAGGACUCUCGAGCAGCUCCAUCUACAGAUUCACAUGGAGAAGAAUUAAGGGUUCCUGCCAAUCACCAGCACCACUUUGCCAGCCUUGUAAGUGGGCCACCUUGGAAUUGGAGCCUCCAGUUCCUACUGACAUCUGACUGCAACAUCAUGAGAGACCCUGAGUUUGAACCACCCAGCUGAGCUGCUUCUGAGCUAACCCACUGAAACCUUGGCAUCUGUGUGAAGAUGUGAAUGGAGGAGGCAGAGUAGGCAGUGAGUGCCGCAGCCACAGCUUGUGUUCUCUGCAGCCCUGGCACAGAAGAUAGGAACACUCAUGGGGGAUGCGGCCACUGUGAUGUCUUCCCACACAAGAAGUGCCAAGUGCUUUUCUCAUGCUUUUCUGGAUUGUCCCAUGGUGGACGAGUCAGCAGGAGUGAGAUGGAGCAGCACAGUAGAGGGCACCUGCUCUGUUUUGUCCCAGGCCAGGAUAUCGUUGUACAUAUUCUCAGCUAAGUGAGCACCAAUAGAGGAGAGGGAGAGUCUCAUGGAAGUUCCUUCUAAGCCUUUGGCUCUUUUUACCUUCAACAAGGUGUGCCACCUCUUUGAUCCAGCAAGUGGGAAGAACAGUCCCGGCCUCUUUGCACACAAGACCGUGAUACCAAUGCACCAUCACAGGCCCCACAGGGGAGCUGUCCGCUUCCCCACACAGCUGCUAGGGGCUCUUUUGCAUGUUCCCAACCUUUCCUGCCUUUAUCUGAUAUUCGUUCCUUAGAUCCUGGGAUGAGGAGGUGGACCAGCAGAAGGUGGGCUUGUGAAGGCAGCCCGGGGUCCAAAUCCUCCUGGCUCUUCAGCUUAGCGGGUUAGUUAACAUUCAGAAGCCUUCAUCUCCCAUCUGCAAAAUGGGCAUGUCCAACUCAGAAGCUGCCUUGAAGAAAGGGUCUACCCAGCAUGGUGCGUGGAGCCUAAGCAGUCAGUACUUCAGGACUUCACCCGGCCCCUUUCCAAUAACUGCUGCUGUCGCCCUCACAGGAUGUCACCUUCAGCGUCUGAAAGCUGGGUUUGAUGCGUCUGGAAAGGCGUCCCUGACAGGCGUCGUUGCCAGGAGCCCCUAGUGCCACCAGCAGCCAGCAGGGGAGGGCGUCCUCUGCCCGCUCACUUCUGACCCUUCUCUCGUUGCACCCGGAACAUGGUGCAGCUGGGAGCAGCCUGGGCUGCGCGGAAGGCUCAGAUUUGGGGACGGCCCUUGCCAGUGACUGUGAGCUGGGGUGUCUUGGAAACUCCCAGUCUCAGCUUCUCCAUUUAUAAGAUGAGAAUGAUCAUACCAGACUCAGGCAAGGUUGUUUGUGCAUUAGUGAAAUCAGACGUAUUAAAUAAAGUACCACAUUGAUCGUGGAGUUGUUGAAUAACCAAGAA